Chinchilla lanigera (long-tailed chinchilla) is the source of this 969-nucleotide long non-coding RNA. RefSeq lists it as uncharacterized. The record is from RefSeq and is a predicted model, not a curated record. The transcript is spliced from 4 exons. Lineage: Eukaryota; Metazoa; Chordata; Mammalia; Rodentia; Chinchillidae.
GGAAGACCCAGGGGCUCGUGGCGAGACUCGCCGGGGCCCCCGAGCCCCGGGACCACCGGCAUAUCCAGGUAGGAGCUCCAGCCUGCAGAGAGUGCCCAGUGCCCAAGGACCAGCCUGAGAAGCUUUUCCUGUGUGCCUGGGAGAUGCGGCCCUUUUCUGGUAUCACGGUGGGUGCUGGUACUAGAAGAGCCAGGCAGCAGCCCUACUUGCAGCUGCCAGGAUUUGAUGAGGGAUUCUGGGGGUCCUGCUGGUUUGGGGCCAAAUAGUUCCACCUCUUUUCGGCUGUGAGCUGGUCAGAUACCCAGACUGGGAAGAAGCAUUCAAAGUGAAAGUGGGCGCCUUCCGCAACGUUCAUGCUGGGAACACUGGACUCCCUUCCACUCAGGCUAAUUGGUGAGCAGCCAGCCUUGAACCUGCCCUCCGUCCCAGCUUGCAGUCUCAGCCCUGAACUCAGACGCUGCGCAUACCACCCCACUGUUCUGCUCUCUAAGCCCCUUGGGCUUCCUGCAGGAUACAAACGAAUGACUGGGCUCAGGCUUUUAUCUGCCCAGAUUCCAGAGUUUUCCCUGACCAAACCAGACCCGGAAAAACGAAAACACGGCUUGGGAAGCCCCCACCAACCGGCGCCUGUGCCAGCUCACCUCUGGCUGUGGCGAGGCUGCCGGUGCACAAGGGCCGCCAGGGCCAGCCCCUUGUUCUUCCCUCCCCUCCCACUUCACUGGAGCCGGGAGCCUUGCACACAGAGACUGCCAAAGUCGACUGGGUCCUUCCUCACCAAAAAUGGUGAGACAAGAUUUCAACUUGUCCGCUGAGGAGCCACAAGCAGGUAUGUCAGUGGCGUCUUGGCAUGCUUUCACUAGUCUGCAGGUCCUGCUACAUAUUGUGCUGUAGCCAUCAAUGGGUGGAAAUAUUUAUAUAAUUAGAAUGAGUUCUGUGAAUAAUUGUGGGUCUGAGUUUCUAGAGUUUCUA